Dendrothele bispora CBS 962.96 is the source of this 112-nucleotide non-coding RNA. Lineage: Eukaryota; Fungi; Basidiomycota; Agaricomycetes; Agaricales. The record is from the annotation of a GenBank genome assembly.
GUCACUUUGCCGGAGUGGUUAACGGGAUCGCCUGCUAUCUCAGGGUCAUCUGACCUAGGCUAACGUAAGCGGUUGGGCUUUGCCCGCGUGUGUUCGAAUCGCACAGGUGACG